Molecule: transfer RNA, 67 nt
Filed under: Marmota monax (woodchuck)
Lineage: Eukaryota; Metazoa; Chordata; Mammalia; Rodentia; Sciuridae
Description: tRNA.Val
Source: RNAcentral
GGUGGUGGCUCAGUGGUAGAGCGCUUGCCUAACAUGUGUGCGGCAUUGGGCUCGAUUCUCAGCACCA